AUAACAUGGACAUUUUACUGUUGAAUUUGUUACCAUACUUGUCUCUUAUCUGCUCUGUUAAAACAGCCCAGUAAUCCUUUAAUUUGUGUCACAUGGCUGUUGGCUGGAGCAGAGUCACUAAACGAAGGCAGGUUUUUUUGUUUGUUGCAGAGGCAUUUUUGAAAAAAAAUAAUAGAUGUAGACUAUAGUCAGUUUGAUGAAAUGGCACAAUUUUAGGCUUAGAUUUGGUUGAGUUUUAUUAAAGGGCCAUUGGAAAGUUGAAACCCGGAUUAUUUAUUUGUUCUUCCAGUUUCCUGCUCUGAUAAAUGAUGUAAUUUUGGCAUUUUUUAAAGACAAACAUGCCUGUUGUUCAGAGGGUUAAAGGACAUUUUAAAGUAAACAUCCCUCUAACGAAACCCCAAGAACUUGGAUGAAUAGGAAUUAAGAAAUGGCAUCAUACAAUAAUAACGCUGACCUUGUAGUUAUUACUUUACAGUUUAUUGGUGCAUGUUUUAUAUAUUUUACACAAUGUUUUAUAAUUUUUAUCUCACGAUGUACUGUUUAUCUAUUCAAUAUUUAACACUUGAGGCUCCAUACUUUUAGUUGCUACUUUUGUGUUUGAAGUUAGUGAAUGGCUAAAGGGUAUAUGGGUGAAGUGAUAGUGAGAAGGUAAAUAAAUGAGUGCUGGUUAGAGUAGUCUAAUUUGUGAGGAAUAGUUUUGAGGUUUGUAGCUGUUAAAAGUUUUUUUUUUUUUUUUUUUUUGGUAAGAGGUGCGGGCAAAGCAAAGUGUGUUGGUUCAUACUUUGGUGUGUGAAGACGUCCACUUUUAGUUUCAGUUCAUCAUAAUGAAUGUGUCGGGACGUGCGCGAGAAUGCUGUACAAUGUUGAGAUGCAUUUAUGAUAAGGUGCGUCAAAGUCGGAAAUGCUGAAUGUUCGGUCAGUCGCAUCACAUAAAGUUGUGCUUUCUGUUUUCUUUUCCAACUAUUAAGCACCACAGGAAGACUGCGAGAUGAGUUGAGAAUUCCUCAAGCUUUUUAACCACCCGCACUUCCAUUUCUCUCGCGCUGCACAGCAAAAGUAGUUUUUUCUUUUCAUUGUGACAGAAAAAGUUUACAUUUCAUACACAUAAAAGCAAGCUUUCACACCGUAGGUAAAAGUGCCAACUUGACUUAGUUGCGAGCUGCUUGGGUGAACGAACUUGAAAUCAUGACAUGCUUGACAUUUAGCAAUUUCUCCUGAUGUUUGUGGUGAACAAUCUUGAUUUCAGAUGGUCACAUUCAUGUCUGUGGCUAGAUCAGAGAUUCUCUGAAGGGGGUGUGUGUGUGUUUAGCAGAUUUCAAAGGUUAUUUUGAAGUGAUGUUUUCUCAUUACUAAUCUGAUCAUUGUAACUGGAGUGGUGUGAUCUGUCACUGUGGGUGGAGAUUUGAUAUAAGGCUAUAAAAACAUUUCCUGUGUUGUGGUGUGAUUUUGUAGGCAUCUAACAACUGGGCUUAGAAUGGAAGGAUUUGUAGGUUAGAGGUGGUUUUUGCAGAGGCGUCAGGCAGCACUUGAAAAGUCUAAUCAUGUGUCAGUAUUCUACAAAUUUCAGUACGACUGAUGGUGGAUACAUCUGUGUUUGAAACAUUAACCUUUAAGUAGCAGACAGUUUUGCCAAAAUGCAUUUGUGGGGUUUUGAGUUGAAGUUUUCAGCUGCUAACUUGAGUAUUGACAGUUUUGUUCCAUUAGUUCAGAUGUGAAGCCUUCAGAGCAACUCGGAAGAGAACUAUAAAUGUAAACAUUUUAAUUUAUGUAAUGUUGCUGAGUUGAAUUCUUAGCCACUGAGAGUCGCCCUGUGUGUCACUGCCUCGACAGCCAGUCAGUGGGAUGUUAUUUCUCGUAAUCUGCUCGUCUGUUAUGUUGUAGAGUGCAUAGUUCUCCAGUGGUGUAGCAAGUGGCAGGUGUGGUUCAUUCACGGAGUCAAUCGAGUCCAUCGUGUCAGCCGAGACUUAAUGCUCUUAAAUAAAUGUGGUCAUGUAGGUUAGAUAUUGUGCACACAGUUGAGUUCGAUUUGAGGAAGUGAUCCAGUUCUGUCUCAGUGACAAUAAAACAGAGGAGGAUGUGACACUGCUCAUCAAUGCAGCAAAGCGUGUCGUUACAUCCAUGAUGUUUUUGCAUUCAGCUCACACCGUAACCCUGUUGGACGCCAUGGGCUCAACGCUGUUAGAAACUUCUGCUAAAGGUUUUCCUCUCAUGGGGCAAGAAGUAGUUAAGGAUUUAUUUUGCAGUGACUGCACCAAAAUAUGAUACGAUAGUACUCAAACGAAUAGAAUGGCGUGGCUUUUUGUCAUGAUUUAAAUGAGACUGAACUGAAAUUAUGCCAUUUUGUCAUUGUGCUAAAAUGAAUAUAAAUAUUAUAUAUUAAAAUAUAUUUGCUAACCAAACUGUG
Long non-coding RNA from Amphiprion ocellaris (clown anemonefish), 2404 nucleotides. The record is from Ensembl. NCBI's taxonomy places the organism in Eukaryota, Metazoa, Chordata, Actinopteri, Pomacentridae.